GCAAUAGAAAGUCAACAUCAUGCGGCAAGAAUGACAUCUUCUUGAACUUGAAGAUGAUGAAAGUGGCCAACACAGAAUCAAAAUAUGAUGUUAAUGAGAUAAAAUGCAGAGAGGAGUGUCUCAGCGAAUGCCGAUGCCAGGCUUAUUCCUAUACUGAAGGUAAUAGUUCUCGGAGAGACGUUGAACCUAGUAGCCCCACCUGCUGGAUUUGGACAGAGGAUCUUAGCAAU
Molecule: unclassified non-coding RNA, 230 nt
Filed under: Hevea brasiliensis (rubber tree)
Lineage: Eukaryota; Viridiplantae; Streptophyta; Magnoliopsida; Malpighiales; Euphorbiaceae
Source: RNAcentral